RNAcentral lists this ribosomal RNA (301 nucleotides) under uncultured bacterium. Its description in RNAcentral is "partial 16S ribosomal RNA". It matches the Rfam family "Bacterial small subunit ribosomal RNA", at positions 509 to 809 of the family's 1533-position model. The record is from RNAcentral.
CAGUCGCCGCGGUAAGACGGAGGGUGCUAGCGUUGUUCGGAAUCACUGGGCGUAAAGGGCGCGUAGGCGGCCUGUUAAGUCGGAUGUGAAAGCCCGGGGCUCAACCCCGGAACUGCAUCCGAGACUGGCAGGCUUGAGACCGGGAGAGGAGGGUGGAAUAUCCAGUGUAGAGGUGAAAUUCGUAGAUAUUGGAUGGAACACCGGUGGCGAAAGCGGCUCUCUGGCCCGGAUCUGACGCUGAGGCGCGAAAGCGUGGGGAGCAAACAGGAUUAGAUACCCGAGUAGUCCCUGUCUCUUAUAA